RNAcentral lists this long non-coding RNA (233 nucleotides) under Rattus norvegicus (Norway rat). RNAcentral describes it as "long non-coding RNA NONRATT004409". Lineage: Eukaryota; Metazoa; Chordata; Mammalia; Rodentia; Muridae. The record is from RNAcentral.
GUACAACCUCAAAGAGCGUUACGCAGCCUGGAUGAUCUACACCUACUCGGGCCUGUUCUGUGUCACUGUCAACCCCUACAAGUGGCUGCCAGUGUAUAAUGCAGAGGUGGUGGCAGCUUACCGAGGCAAAAAGCGCCAGGAGGCCCCGCCCCACAUCUUCUCUAUCUCUGACAACGCCUACCAGUUCAUGUUGACAGAUCGGGAGAACCAGUCUAUUUUGAUCACGUAUGUAU